Molecule: ribosomal RNA, 497 nt
Filed under: uncultured bacterium
Lineage: Bacteria
Description: partial 16S ribosomal RNA
Rfam family: Bacterial small subunit ribosomal RNA
Source: RNAcentral
GAUGAACGCUGGCGGCGUGCCUAAUACAUGCAAGUCGAGCGAACGGACGAGAAGCUUGCUUCUCUGAUGUUAGCGGCGGACGGGUGAGUAACACGUGGAUAACCUACCUAUAAGACUGGGAUAACUUCGGGAAACCGGAGCUGAUACCGGAUAAUAUUUUGAACCGCAUGGUUCAAAAGUGAAAGACGGUCUUGCUGUCACUUAUAGAUGGAUCAGCGCUGCAUUAGCUAGUUGGUAAGGUAACGGCUUACCAAGGCAACGAUGCAUAGCCGACCUGAGAGGGUGAUCGGCCACACUGGAACUGAGACACGGUCCAGACUCCUACGGGAGGCAGCAGUAGGGAAUCUUCCGCAAUGGGCGAAAGCCUGACGGAGCAACGCCGCGUGAGUGAUGAAGGUCUUCGGAUCGUAAAACUCUGUUAUUAGGGAAGAACAUAUGUGUAAGUAACUGUGCACAUCUUGACGGUACCUAAUCAGAAAGCCACGGCUAACUACGUG